GAUGAACGCUGGCGGCGUGCCUAAUACAUGCAAGUCGAGCGAACAGAUAAGGAGCUUGCUCCUUUGACGUUAGCGGCGGACGGGUGAGUAACACGUGGGUAACCUACCUAUAAGACUGGAAUAACUCCGGGAAACCGGGGCUAAUGCCGGAUAACAUUUAGAACCGCAUGGUUCUAAAGUGAAAGAUGGUUUUGCUAUCACUUAUAGAUGGACCCGCGCCGUAUUAGCUAGUUGGUAAGGUAACGGCUUACCAAGGCAACGAUACGUAGCCGACCUGAGAGGGUGAUCGGCCACACUGGAACUGAGACACGGUCCAGACUCCUACGGGAGGCAGCAGUAGGGAAUCUUCCGCAAUGGGCGAAAGUCUGACGGAGCAACGCCGCGUGAGUGAUGAAGGUCUUCGGAUCGUAAAACUCUGUUAUUAGGGAAGAACAAAUGUGUAAGUAACUGUGCACGUCUUGACGGUACCUAAUCAGAAAGCCACGGCUAACUACGUG
Molecule: ribosomal RNA, 497 nt
Filed under: uncultured bacterium
Lineage: Bacteria
Description: partial 16S ribosomal RNA
Rfam family: Bacterial small subunit ribosomal RNA
Source: RNAcentral